AGGACGAACGCUGGCGGCGUGCUAACACAUGCAAGUCGAGCGAUGAAGCUUCUUCGGAAGUGGAUUAGCGGCGGACGGGUGAGUAACACGUGGGUAACCUACCUCAUAGGAGGGAAUAGCCUUCCGAAAGGAAGAUUAAUACCGCAUAAGGUUGUAAUAUCGCAUGAUAUAGCAAUUAAAGGAGCAAUCCGCUAUGAGAUGGACCCGCGUCGCAUUAGCUAGUUGGUGAGGUAACGGCCCACCAAGGCGACGAUGCGUAGCCGACCUGAGAGGGUGAUCGGCCACAUUGGGACUGAGACACGGCCCAGACUCCUACGGGAGGCAGCAGUGGGGAAUAUUGCACAAUGGGGGAAACCCUGAUGCAGCCAACGCCGCGUGAGUGAUGACGGUCUUCGGAUUGUAAAGCUCUGUCUUCAGGGACGAUAAUGACGGUACCUGAGGAGGAAGCCACGGCUAACUACGUGCCAGCAGCGGC
RNAcentral lists this ribosomal RNA (475 nucleotides) under uncultured bacterium. RNAcentral's name for it is "bacterial SSU rRNA". It matches the Rfam family "Bacterial small subunit ribosomal RNA", at positions 26 to 518 of the family's 1533-position model. The record is from RNAcentral.